Non-coding RNA from Cricetulus griseus (Chinese hamster), 592 nucleotides. The record is from RefSeq and is a predicted model, not a curated record. NCBI's taxonomy places the organism in Eukaryota, Metazoa, Chordata, Mammalia, Rodentia, Cricetidae.
GCUUGCUGUAGAGACCUCUACCACGCCGGCUGGCUAGGUUGCUCUCCAGGAAGUGGAAACAGCCCAGAUUUCUAUCAACUGAGGAAAGGAUAAUGAAAAUCUGACACACAUACACAAUGGAAUUUUACUCAGCUAUAAAAAAAGAAAUUUGCAGAAUUUAAUAAUGAGGCCAUACUGCUGAAUAUACCAUACACGUGGGUCACAGAACAGAGAAAUCAAUGGAGAAUUUACCUGGAAGCCUCCUCACUACUGAUUAGCUUUCAUAGUUCCAGAAGCUGCUAUGAAGACUUUUGGGGAAGAAUAGUCAGCAGCAAUCUUAACUCUACAGUAAACUACACUAGUGGCCAACCUGGUAAUGGAUACCCAUUGGCGCAAUAGUGACAUGAAUAUUAUGGUAGUAACUGAAGACUUUCUGUUUGGAUGAGACCUACUCCACAGGAGAAAACUCAUGCCUUGAACUUUAAAAAUGUCCAUGAAUUGAAGCCACUUGACAAGGAUAGUGAUGCCUUCCAUAGGGGAUCAUCAAAAAAUCUGUCACUUCAUUUGGGGGAGGGACUAGGUCCUCUUUCUUGUAUCUGGGCUGCAAUACUAC